Long non-coding RNA from Aethalodelphis obliquidens (Pacific white-sided dolphin), 529 nucleotides. RefSeq lists it as uncharacterized. The transcript is spliced from 5 exons. NCBI's taxonomy places the organism in Eukaryota, Metazoa, Chordata, Mammalia, Artiodactyla, Delphinidae. The record is from RefSeq and is a predicted model, not a curated record.
AUGGCUAUGAGCUGCUGCUGGGGCCACCGAGUGCUUCCCUGCUCGGAACUGGUGACCACUGUGAGCCGUGGUGUCUUUCCAGUACUGAGGAAAUGGAUUGGCUGCAAAGGCCCCGGAAAAAAAAGUGUAUAGCCUUGGUGGGGCAAUGCAGUUUUGGAGUAUCUGGAGAGGCUGCUGGCUGUGAGGCCAGAAUUUCGUGCUCAUAUGGAGAAUGAGAGAACCACCACCACAAUCAAGACCUAGGACAGGAGAAUGAAAUGAAAACCCUGUAGUCCAAGGCAACUUUGUGGAUCAGGCGCUGUGGGCUGAAUCCUGGAGAAGGACAAGUCCAAGGUUACCUCACUGUCAAGAGAUGGCUGCUGGAGCUCUACCCAUCACUUUUGCCUUGUAGACAGCAGGAAGAAGGAAAGGAGAAUGUCACGCUGUGAAUACUUAUCAUCUCAGCAGAAACACAUGGGGACGAUGGCAUCUUCCAGGGCCUGCAGGGAUGCUCUCUCUCCCAGAGCCAUGUCACGCCUCCCAGGCCUCC